CUGCAAACUUGAUCACUGCAUGAUGUUGCAGAAGUAAGGAGAACAGGUUUGGUCAUAGAACUGUUUUAGCCUUAGAAAUAAAAUUAUUUUGGCUGUUAAUUCUAUACCACGAUGAGG
This is a small nucleolar RNA of Cuculus canorus (common cuckoo), 117 nucleotides long. NCBI's taxonomy places the organism in Eukaryota, Metazoa, Chordata, Aves, Cuculiformes, Cuculidae. The record is from RefSeq and is a predicted model, not a curated record.